Molecule: microRNA precursor, 82 nt
Filed under: Pelobates cultripes (western spadefoot toad)
Lineage: Eukaryota; Metazoa; Chordata; Amphibia; Anura; Pelobatidae
Source: RNAcentral
GUGUGUGUAUAUAAUGCAGUGUGUUUGUGUAGUGUGCAUUAUAUACACACAUUACACAAACACACUGCAUUAUAUACACAGU